UUGCUUUUUCUAAUGCUGGCUUACAGAAUUCUGCUCAGCUGUGGGUGCUUGAGGUUUUUGUGUUGAUGAUCAUAGAUUGAUUCAUUCAUUCUGGGCCAUUUUCAAGGCUGUGCCUCUCUAUCAAAACUGUCAAAUAUAUUUGUGUCUUGAGGGAUCUCCAUCACUCUGAGAGCUUUUUCUUUUUUUUUUUUCUUUAUUCAAGCAGAAUAUCUGAAAGGGAAAAGGAUGUUGAAAGCUGAGAAAGAAAAUAAAAGAUUUAAAAAGAAGCAGCAUACCCACAGGCUAUCUCUGACUAAUAAGAAUUCAAGCAGCUGUGCUUUUUUUCAACUUGAAAACUGGAGCUUUUAGGUUGGACUUGAUGAUCUCAGAGGUCUUUUCCAAUCUUCUAUCUCUUCAAAAGUGUUGAUACGGAGCCACAGCAUUUGGGGUUAAUGAUAGAUGAUGUGUUUAAGUGUCUCUGAAAAAGAAAUUCACAGAAAACAUCUGAAGAGCUGUGCUUCUUCAGGAGUAUAUAUAAAUAAGGAACAACUCCAUCUCCACCCAAAGACAGCAACUAGUGUUAUGAAUUGAAGAAGAUCUGGGCCUUUAAGAAGAGCAUCUCACUCAUGAAGGCCUGAAAACCCAGUAUAUUGGCAGCAGAUGGGAGAUAAAACAAUUCUUGCCAAUUACUUGUGCUACACCACGCUGGGAGAGAUGCUGUUAUGUAAGUGUCUCAAACUGGGGAGGUCACAUGAAUAAGAACAGAGUCAUCCAUGAUGCUUUCAGCUUCUUGAAACAAAGGACUUGAAUUAAGAUUGCUCUAGCACUUCCCUCCUUCCUCCCUUUCCUUUUUUGUGCCAAGCUUCAUUAGCUCUGUGGUUUUGUUUCAUUUGGUUUUAAUGCUUAUAUAGAACCAGAAACAUUUUCAGACUUUUCAUGAAAAAUGUGCAAGAAAUACUGACAAUGCAGAGAAACUCUUUUAGUCAGUGCAGAAUUGCCAGAACUUGCCAAGAAUAGUGAUGUCUUGUGGAAAAGUUUGUCUCUUAAUU
Molecule: long non-coding RNA, 1028 nt
Filed under: Camarhynchus parvulus
Lineage: Eukaryota; Metazoa; Chordata; Aves; Passeriformes; Thraupidae
Description: lncRNA (ENSCPVG00000017946.1)
Source: RNAcentral